RNAcentral lists this ribosomal RNA (491 nucleotides) under uncultured bacterium. Its description in RNAcentral is "partial 16S ribosomal RNA". It matches the Rfam family "Bacterial small subunit ribosomal RNA", at positions 29 to 507 of the family's 1533-position model. The record is from RNAcentral.
GUGAACGCUGGCGGUAGGCCUAACACAUGCAAGUCGAACGGCAGCACAGUAAGAGCUUGCUCUUACGGGUGGCGAGUGGCGGACGGGUGAGGAAUACAUCGGAAUCUACUUUUUCGUGGGGGAUAACGUAGGGAAACUUACGCUAAUACCGCAUACGACCUACGGGUGAAAGCAGGGGAUCUUCGGACCUUGCGCGAUUGAAUGAGCCGAUGUCGGAUUAGCUAGUUGGCGGGGUAAAGGCCCACCAAGGCGACGAUCCGUAGCUGGUCUGAGAGGAUGAUCAGCCACACUGGAACUGAGACACGGUCCAGACUCCUACGGGAGGCAGCAGUGGGGAAUAUUGGACAAUGGGCGCAAGCCUGAUCCAGCCAUACCGCGUAGGUGAAGAAGGCCUUCGGGUUGUAAAGCCCUUUUGUUGGGAAAGAAAAGCAGCAGGUUAAUACCCCGCUGUUCUGACGGUACCCAAAGAAUAAGCACCGGCUAACUUCGUG